GGUUGUAGCUCAGUGGUAGAGCAUUUGCCUGACAGGUGUGAGGCACUGGGCUCUAUCCUCAGCACCACAUAAAAAUAAAUAAAUAAGUAAAGGUAUUGGGACCGUCUAAAAAUAUAAAAUAAAUAAAUAAAUAAUACAGGGCUGGGAAUGUAACUCAGUGGUAAAGCACCCCUGGGUUCAAUCCCCAGUACCA
RNAcentral lists this transfer RNA (193 nucleotides) under Marmota monax (woodchuck). Its description in RNAcentral is "tRNA.Val". Lineage: Eukaryota; Metazoa; Chordata; Mammalia; Rodentia; Sciuridae. The record is from RNAcentral.